This 755-nucleotide ribosomal RNA is filed under the name Salmonella enterica. Its description in RNAcentral is "partial 23S ribosomal RNA". It matches the Rfam family "Bacterial large subunit ribosomal RNA", at positions 210 to 1002 of the family's 2925-position model. Lineage: Bacteria; Pseudomonadati; Pseudomonadota; Gammaproteobacteria; Enterobacterales; Enterobacteriaceae. The record is from RNAcentral.
CCCGAGGAAAAGAAAUCAACCGAGAUUCCCCCAGUAGCGGCGAGCGAACGGGGAGGAGCCCAGAGCCUGAAUCAGCAUGUGUGUUAGUGGAAGCGUCUGGAAAGGCGCGCGAUACAGGGUGACAGCCCCGUACACAAAAGCGCAUGUGCUGUGAGCUCGAUGAGUAGGGCGGGACACGUGGUAUCCUGUCUGAAUAUGGGGGGACCAUCCUCCAAGGCUAAAUACUCCUGACUGACCGAUAGUGAACCAGUACCGUGAGGGAAAGGCGAAAAGAACCCCGGCGAGGGGAGUGAAAAAGAACCUGAAACCGUGUACGUACAAGCAGUGGGAGCACAGGUUUACCUGUGUGACUGCGUACCUUUUGUAUAAUGGGUCAGCGACUUAUAUUCUGUAGCAAGGUUAACCGUAUAGGGGAGCCGGAGGGAAACCGAGUCUUAACCGGGCGUUAAGUUGCAGGGUAUAGACCCGAAACCCGGUGAUCUAGCCAUGGGCAGGUUGAAGGUUGGGUAACACUAACUGGAGGACCGAACCGACUAAUGUUGAAAAAUUAGCGGAUGACCUGUGGCUGGGGGUGAAAGGCCAAUCAAACCGGGAGAUAGCUGGUUCUCCCCGAAAGCUAUUUAGGUAGCGCCUCGUGAAUUCAUCUCCGGGGGUAGAGCACUGUUUCGGCUAGGGGGCCAUCCCGGCUUACCAACCCGAUGCAAACUGCGAAUACCGGAGAAUGUUAUCACGGGAGACACACGGCGGGUGCUAAC